GAUGAACGCUGGCGGCGUGCCUAAUACAUGCAAGUCGAGCGAACGGACGAGAAGCUUGCUUUUCUGAUGUUAGCGGCGGACGGGUGAGUAACACGUGGAUAACCUACCUAUAAGACUGGGAUAACUUCGGGAAACCGGAGCUAAUACCGGAUAAUAUUUUGAACCGCAUGGUUCAAUAGUGAAAGACGGUCUUGCUGUCACUUAUAGAUGGAUCCGCGCUGCAUUAGCUAGUUGGUAAGGUAACGGCUUACCAAGGCAACGAUGCAUAGCCGACCUGAGAGGGUGAUCGGCCACACUGGAACUGAGACACGGUCCAGACUCCUACGGGAGGCAGCAGUAGGGAAUCUUCCGCAAAGGGCGAAAGCCUGACGGAGCAACGCCGCGUGAGUGAUGAAGGUCUUCGGAUCGUAAAACUCUGUUAUUAGGGAAGAACAUAUGUGUAAGUAACUGUGCACAUCUUGACGGUACCUAAUCAGAAAGCCACGGCUAACUACGUG
RNAcentral lists this ribosomal RNA (497 nucleotides) under uncultured bacterium. RNAcentral describes it as "partial 16S ribosomal RNA". It matches the Rfam family "Bacterial small subunit ribosomal RNA", at positions 28 to 507 of the family's 1533-position model. The record is from RNAcentral.